This 254-nucleotide ribosomal RNA is filed under the name uncultured bacterium. RNAcentral describes it as "partial 16S ribosomal RNA". It matches the Rfam family "Bacterial small subunit ribosomal RNA", at positions 524 to 776 of the family's 1533-position model. The record is from RNAcentral.
UACGGGGGAUGCAAGCGUUAUCCGGAUUUAUUGGGUUUAAAGGGUGCGUAGGCUGUGAGGUAAGUCAGCGGUGAAAUGCCCCCGCUCAACGGGGUGAAGUGCCAUUGAUACUGCCUUGCUGGGAUGCGAAUGCCGUGGGAGGAAUGUGUGGUGUAGCGGUGAAAUGCAUAGAGAUCACACAGAACACCGAUUGCGAAGGCAUCUCACGAAUCCGCGAUUGACGCUGAUGCACGAAAGCGUGGGUAUCAAACAGG